Molecule: ribosomal RNA, 482 nt
Filed under: uncultured bacterium
Lineage: Bacteria
Description: partial 16S ribosomal RNA
Rfam family: Bacterial small subunit ribosomal RNA
Source: RNAcentral
UAGGGAAUCUUCCACAAUGGACGCAAGUCUGAUGGAGCAACGCCGCGUGAGUGAAGAAGGCUUUCGGGUCGUAAAACUCUGUUGUUGGAGAAGAAUGGUCGGCAGAGUAACUGUUGUCGGCGUGACGGUAUCCAACCAGAAAGCCACGGCUAACUACGUGCCAGCAGCCGCGGUAAUACGUAGGUGGCAAGCGUUAUCCGGAUUUAUUGGGCGUAAAGCGAGCGCAGGCGGUUUUUUAAGUCUGAUGUGAAAGCCCUCGGCUUAACCGAGGAAGUGCAUCGGAAACUGGGAAACUUGAGUGCAGAAGAGGACAGUGGAACUCCAUGUGUAGCGGUGAAAUGCGUAGAUAUAUGGAAGAACACCAGUGGCGAAGGCGGCUGUCUGGUCUGUAACUGACGCUGAGGCUCGAAAGCAUGGGUAGCGAACAGGAUUAGAUACCCUGGUAGUCCAUGCCGUAAACGAUGAAUGCUAGGUGUUGGAGG